AACGAACGCUGGCGGCAUGCCUAACACAUGCAAGUCGAACGAGACCUUCGGGUCUAGUGGCGCACGGGUGCGUAACGCGUGGGAACCUGCCCUUAGGUUCGGAAUAACUCCCCGAAAGGGGUGCUAAUACCGGAUAAUGUCUUCGGACCAAAGAUUUAUCGCCUUUGGAUGGGCCCGCGUUGGAUUAGCUAGUUGGUAGGGUAAAAGCCUACCAAGGCGACGAUCCAUAGCUGGUCUGAGAGGAUGAUCAGCCACACUGGGACUGAGACACGGCCCAGACUCCUACGGGAGGCAGCAGUGGGGAAUAUUGAACAAUGGGCGAAAGCCUGAUCCAGCAAUGCCGCGUGAGUGAUGAAGGCCUUAGGGUUGUAAAGCUCUUUUGCCCGGGAUGAUAAUGACAGUACCGGAAGAAUAAGCUCCGGCUAACUCCGUG
RNAcentral lists this ribosomal RNA (433 nucleotides) under uncultured bacterium. RNAcentral describes it as "partial 16S ribosomal RNA". It matches the Rfam family "Bacterial small subunit ribosomal RNA", at positions 29 to 507 of the family's 1533-position model. The record is from RNAcentral.